This is a long non-coding RNA of Bufo bufo (common toad), 154 nucleotides long. RefSeq lists it as uncharacterized. NCBI's taxonomy places the organism in Eukaryota, Metazoa, Chordata, Amphibia, Anura, Bufonidae. The transcript is spliced from 3 exons. The record is from RefSeq and is a predicted model, not a curated record.
CACCACUGGUCGGUCUGCAGGAGAAAAUGAGAAAUAUAUAGUAUAAUGCCGCCUGAUUAUACCAGAAAUACAUUCCCAAAUUUUAUGUGUGUGUACACAUUCCUGAGGUGGGGGAUAGCUCACUUGGGUGAGGGGCUAUAGAUUAGAUGAAGCA